GAUGAACGCUAGCGAUAGGCCUAACACAUGCAAGUCGAGGGGCAGCACAAGGUAGCUUGCUAUCUGGGUGGCGACUGGCGCACGUGUGCGUAACGCGUAUGCAACUUGCUCUAUACAGGAGGAUAACCCGUCGAAAGACGGACUAAUACUGCGUAUGCUCACAACUUGGCAUCAAGUGGUGAGGAAAGAAAUUCGGUAUAGGAUAGGCAUGCGUCCCAUUAGCUUGUUGGUGAGGUAACGGCUCACCAAGGCAACGAUGGGUAGGGGAACUGAGAGGUUCAUCCCCCACACUGGUACUGAGACACGGACCAGACUCCUACGGGAGGCAGCAGUGAGGAAGAUUGGGCAAGGGGCGCGAGCCUGAACCAGCCAAGUCGCGUGAAGGAUGACUGUCUUAUGGAUUGUAAACUUCUUUUAGACGGGAAUAACAAGAGUAACGUGUGACUCCCUGCAGGUACCGUAUGAAUAAGCAUCGGCUAACUCCGUG
This 487-nucleotide ribosomal RNA is filed under the name uncultured bacterium. Its description in RNAcentral is "partial 16S ribosomal RNA". It matches the Rfam family "Bacterial small subunit ribosomal RNA", at positions 28 to 507 of the family's 1533-position model. The record is from RNAcentral.